UUGAUUUUAACCCCAAAACUAUACCCAAACUUGAAUCAAAUGCAAAACUAACCUAAAAGCCUUGUGAAAUUACAGUCAAUCCCCUUGUGACCAAACAAAAAAACAGAAGCUAUUUUUACGAAUAUAGCCCCAGUAAGUCGUCUGAGAUGUUGGAAGUAGUUUGGACGACUUACUUGUAAGUCGUAUGGUACCAGUUUAUCUUAAAAUAAUUUAUAAAUUUUGUAAAAAAUAUUUUGAUGAGUGAAAAAUAAAAAUCAUGUAAUUAUACACAGUUUUAAGUGAUAUAAAUUAAGAUAUGAAAAUUGAUUUGUU
This 312-nucleotide long non-coding RNA is filed under the name Brassica rapa (field mustard). Its description in RNAcentral is "long non-coding RNA (BRAP_LNC004873)". Lineage: Eukaryota; Viridiplantae; Streptophyta; Magnoliopsida; Brassicales; Brassicaceae. The record is from RNAcentral.